Molecule: non-coding RNA, 78 nt
Organism: Schistosoma margrebowiei
Lineage: Eukaryota; Metazoa; Platyhelminthes; Trematoda; Strigeidida; Schistosomatidae
Source: Rfam
AGCUUUCCGAGUCCGUGCAGAGAUUUCGUCAAACACCAAUCCGUUAUUGCUGAUCAGACUUCCAAGAUAAGUGAAGUU